GAGUUUGAUCGUGGCUCAGAUUGAACGCUGGCGGCAUGCCUUACACAUGCAAGUCGAACGGCAGCACGGGAGCUUGCUCCUGGUGGCGAGUGGCGAACGGGUGAGUAAUGCAUCGGAACGUAUCCUGGAGUGGGGGAUAACGUAGCGAAAGCUACGCUAAUACCGCAUAUUCUGUGAGCAGGAAAGCGGGGGACCUUCGGGCCUCGCGCUCUUGGAGCGGCCGAUGUCGGAUUAGCUAGUUGGUGAGGUAAAGGCGUCACCAAGGCGACGAUCCGUAGCAGGUCUGAGAGGAUGAUCUGCCACACUGGAACUGAGACACGGUCCAGACUCCUACGGGAGGCAGCAGUGGGGAAUUUUGGACAAUGGGGGCAACCCUGAUCCAGCCAUGCCGCGUGAGUGAAGAAGGCCU
Molecule: ribosomal RNA, 409 nt
Filed under: bacterium enrichment culture clone ALO1_GLFRUDD03F8EY4
Lineage: Bacteria
Description: bacterial SSU rRNA
Rfam family: Bacterial small subunit ribosomal RNA
Source: RNAcentral